Molecule: long non-coding RNA, 628 nt
Organism: Esox lucius (northern pike)
Lineage: Eukaryota; Metazoa; Chordata; Actinopteri; Esociformes; Esocidae
Source: Ensembl
AGUGGGUCCAUUGUGCAUGCAGCCACUGCAGAGCUGAAGGUAGCCCUGCUACCCGAUACGAUCUCCAUGACGAGCGACCCACUGACAGUCGAAUGCCCAAAGGAUGUUAUGGUCAAUGCAACCAUUCAAAACAGCCCUGAGAAUUACACUGUAACGUGGACAUUAAACCAAGUACCAGUUACAUCCCAAACACCAUCAGAUAAUGUCCAGGUUUGUCAGGAAGACUCUCCUUGGCCAAAAACUCCAAAAGGCUUCACUUUAGUAAUCCAACAAUGUGAGAUUGGGAGAGUGGGGUAUCAAGAACGGACAUGCAUUUCGCCUGAAUGGAUGAAUGAACUGGAUAGAUGUGUCAGUGAAGAAUUAAAUAAUGUUCUAAAUACAGCAGCUGCCUUUAGAGGGGGACUUGGGGUCACUCAGAAGGUUGCCCUAGCAAUCUUUUCGAGUUUGAAGAACAUCAGUAAUGACACGUCCUACUCAAAUGCUGAUUUGAGUGCAUCCAUCGGAGUGCUGGAUAUCAUGUUUGAAGCCUCAAAACAAUUCACCCUGGAUGAAUCCGUUUUAGGAGAUUUCCUCGGUGCAGCAAGUAACAUGCUGAAUGCAAAUUGGGAACAAGUCAACACAACCAUUU